RNAcentral lists this ribosomal RNA (478 nucleotides) under uncultured bacterium. RNAcentral describes it as "partial 16S ribosomal RNA". It matches the Rfam family "Bacterial small subunit ribosomal RNA", at positions 28 to 523 of the family's 1533-position model. The record is from RNAcentral.
GACGAACGCUGGCGGCGUGCUUAACACAUGCAAGUCGAACGGUAAGGCCCUUCGGGGUACACGAGUGGCGAACGGGUGAGUAGCACGUGGGUGAUCUGCCCUGCACUUCGGGAUAAGCCUGGGAAACUGGGUCUAAUACCGGAUAGGACCACUGCCUGCAUGGGUGGUGGUGGAAAGCGUUUGCGGUGUGGGAUGGGCCCGCGGGCUAUCAGCUUGUUGGUGGGGUGAUGGCCUACCAAGGAGACGACGGGUAGCCGGCCUGAGAGGGUGACCGGCCACACUGGGACUGAGAUACGGCCCAGACUCCUACGGGAGGCAGCAGUGGGGAAUAUUGCACAAUGGGCGCAAGCCUGAUGCAGCGACGCCGCGUGAGGGAUGACGGCCUUCGGGUUGUAAACCUCUUUCAGCACCGACGAAGCGCAAGUGACGGUAGGUGCAGAAGAAGGACCGGCCAACUACGUGCCAGCCGCCGCGGUAA